GGUCGGGCGAAGCGAAACAGUGCAACUAGUGGUUGGGCGAAGCUAACUGCACAGCAAGGGGUCAGGCAAGGCGGAGAACUGCCUCGAGGAGUCGAGCGCAUCCGACCCUGCGACUCGGGGUCGGCCAAGCUUUAGACAGACCCACCGAAAGGGGUGUGUGGUCACAGCAAAAACUCCCACAACUUGGCAUCCAAGGCGUGUCGCAAAAAGAGUCAAAGGUCAAGUUAAGGUCUGAUUUCACUAAGGUCAUAGCAUUGUUGUUCCCCAAAACACAGGAGAAAACUCAACUCAAGGCUAACCUAUUACAUC
RNAcentral lists this long non-coding RNA (309 nucleotides) under Setaria viridis. RNAcentral's name for it is "long non-coding RNA (SVIR_LNC011104)". Lineage: Eukaryota; Viridiplantae; Streptophyta; Magnoliopsida; Poales; Poaceae. The record is from RNAcentral.